UACGUAGGGUGCAAGCGUUGUCCGGAAUUAUUGGGCGUAAAGAGCUCGUAGGCGGUCUGUCGCGUCUGCUGUGAAAACUCAGGGCUUAACCCUGAGCUUGCAGUGGGUACGGGCAGACUAGAGUGCGGUAGGGGGAGACUGGAAUUCCUGGUGUAGCGGUGAAAUGCGCAGAUAUCAGGAGGAACACCGGUGGCGAAGGCGGGGUCUCUGGGCCGUAACUGACGCUGGAGGAGCGGAAAGCAUGGGGAGCGAACAGG
This 257-nucleotide ribosomal RNA is filed under the name uncultured bacterium. Its description in RNAcentral is "partial 16S ribosomal RNA". It matches the Rfam family "Bacterial small subunit ribosomal RNA", at positions 524 to 776 of the family's 1533-position model. The record is from RNAcentral.